Molecule: long non-coding RNA, 3447 nt
Filed under: Homo sapiens (human)
Lineage: Eukaryota; Metazoa; Chordata; Mammalia; Primates; Hominidae
Description: HSALNT0128309
Source: RNAcentral
UUCAUUUUUAUUUUUAUUUAUUGUAAAUCAGAGAAUAAGUGUUAAUGUAUGGAUUUUACCUUCCCUCAUAGCUUUUUAUUAAGAUAUUGAGUUCUUGCUAUUUGUUAUAUAAUUCUUUUUAAAAGCACUUAAUAGACAAUUCUUUCUCUGUAAUAUUCUUAUUUCAACAUAGUAUUAUUUUUCGAGCUGUACUUUUUUCACCUUAUUUCUUAUAUUACUUUUUGAAUAUAUAACUCAUUAAAAAUUUUUUAGUAUUUUGCCUAAUUGUAUUCCAUUUAAUAUUAUAAUGUUCAAAGUUCUUGGCCAUGGUAUUCAAUGUAUGAGAACUAUUGACUGCAACAGAGAAGAACACAUAAUAAAUUCAUUAGAUUUCUACUUUUUUUUUUUUACUAUAAAAGCUAUGCGAUUUUUACUAUUUUAUUUCCGAAUAUGGUAUCCUUAUUGAUUGUUACUAGUUUUCUUGAGGAAAUAUUACAUUUGAAUUUCCACAUAUUUUCACAAGGAAUAGAGGCUUAAUUGAAGCUGUAAUGUAGUCAAGUAGAGAUUCCAGCUUGUUGUGUUACUGCCUUUCUAUGUGUAUCUGGAGUCAGAGUCUAGCCCUGCUGUUGCCUGAACAGUGCUUUUGUUCAUAUUAGGAGAAAGCCUCCUUUUCCUCAAGUACACGUACGGCUCCCUGACAAUGAUAGUAAUGUUGCAGAAUUCCUGCCCCUUAGUUCAGCUAAAUCUGGGUUCCUGUGUCACGACCAGAAAAAUUGGGCACGCAGACACAUUGAAGGGUAUGGGGAACGGAAUUUAUUGGGUGAAAGGAAAAAAGGAAAAAUAAUUCUCAGCAAAGAGAGAGAGAGUCCUGCUAGGAGGUUUCCCGCCUCACCGAUUGAAUUGCAGGUCACCACCCUGGAACUGAAGAGGCCAGGCUCCUCCCCGCUGCAAAAGGCGCGAACUUCCCGAAGCUCCACCCCGUCUUCCCAGCGAACAGGUGGGCACUGUUCAGAGAGAAUCGGUCAGGAAAGGGGGCGGGCUUCAUCCAGGACCAGCAGUCCAGUUUUUCAGCCUUCAGGCUGUUUUAGGCUUGAAAGCGGAAUUUCGCCACGGACCUUUGACUGUCUCCUGUCUCUAUCAGUAAUAAAUACACAAGUCCAGGAGAACUGUGAAUAUGAACGGCAUCCCCUUAGAGCUGUACAUAACCAACCACCUGCCCUGGUCCUAAGAAAGACCAUAACAUACUCCACUUUAUUUCACUAACUUCUUCUGACAUUACUCAGCCAGCACGGAAACAAGCUUAAGUAAUCAGACAUAAUUAUUUUAAUUAUUUGCAACUGAGCCCCAGGUAUACUAAGAUAACAUUAAAAAAAAUUGAUCUUUUAGUUUCCAUGGCACCUUAGGUAUUAAUGAAUGUCAGUGAACCUUACUAUUUAUCAGAAUUCAAUUUAACCCCCAAUUUUUCUUCCUGUUUUGAUGAUUACAUGCAGCAUUCCAACACUUUAGAAUAUGAGAUGAAAUGACAUUUUAACUGCUAAAUUAUAGUUACUUAAAUCACAAAUUGUAUUAUACUUCUUGAAUAAAUCACCAUCCUUAUGAUGUAAUAGUAUGAAGAUCAUAUUUUAAUUGUAAUAGCUACAUUUUCUAUGUAUAAUUUGCUUGAUUAGCACUGAAAAGGGUAAGACAAAAUAGACAAGGCUACUAUUAAAAGUUCUUACAAUUGAAGCGUAACUAAAAUUCAGGUGGGUUUGUUGGAAAGUGGAGACGGGGAUACACCUUAAAAAAAAUUUAAUGAGAUUUGUGACCUUUUACAGUGAAGCAAAAGGGCACCUUAGUAAGCAACAUUGAAGCGGCUACGUUGUCUGGGGUAUAAACCCUGGGGUUCCUUGUCUUGCUGAGAGAAAGAAUUUAGAACAGGGACACACGUGGGUAGGUUAAAGGAGCGGAAAGUUUAAUAGAGGAAAGGAGAGGGGAGAGCAGCUCCUUGCCAGAGAGGGACGUCUGAAAAAGGGGAAAAGGCCAUGGGCAGCACCAGAUUUUAUAAGCAGGCUAGAGGAGGUGUCUGAUUUGGUAGGGCCCACAGGUGUGACGUUUAUAUAGCUGGGGCUGGUGGUGGGGUCGGGGGGAGGGAAGACUGGCUGCCCCAUCUUAAUCUUAUUAUGCAAAUGAACUCGCCCGUUGACUGGCGCCAUCUUGUCUGCUCCUGACUCUACACGUAGCUGAUAAUGAGAAGGGAAGAUGGGGCUCCCGUUUUGAACAUGAUUGGCACAACUGCCAGCAUCUAUGUCUGCAGCUCGAUUUUAUAGGCUGCUCAUUGUUAGAAAGGAAAAUGAUUUGGAGCUACUUUUCAUUAAAAGGAAAACCUUACUGAGGACUGCUGUACCCUCACUAUCUGCUUAAGUAAUUUCUUCUUUUUUUUUUUUUUUUUGAGACGGAGUCUCCAUGUUAGAGUGCGGUAGCACGAUCUCGGCUCACUGCAACCUCUGCCUCCCGGAUUCAAGAGAUUCUCCUGCCUCAGCCUCCGGAGUAGCUGGGACUACAGGCGCGUACCAACACACCCAGCUAAUUUUUGUAUUUUUAGUAGAGAUGGUGUUCCACCACGCUGGCCAGGAUGGUCUUGAUCCUUGACCUCCUGAUCUGCCUGCCUCGGCAUCUCAAAGUGCUGGGAUUACAGGCGUGAGCCACUGCACCCGGCCAGUAAUUUCUUCUUAACUCCUGUAUCAACAUAUGAUAAAAUAGAGCAUUUUAAAAACAAGUUUUUGAAAAGAUUAAGAAUUUAUAAAAAGCUCUAAGAAGGAAACUUCAAAUACGGAUCUCAAUCACAAGCAAGGGUAAUGAGGACCCAGUGACCAUGAAGAGGCUCCAGAACUUCAUGACCUUCUGUUAUGAAAAGUUACUUAUAGUACUAUCUGUGCUCAACAGAAAAGUGCCUACUGAAGAUAAAGAAGCUGAAGCAUCAAGAAGUUAAGCCCCAAAAGUUGCUGUUAGCGAAUGGAAGAGUUAGGAUUACAAACUCAGGCAACAAAAGGGAAAAGGAAGAAGUUCCAUGCUCUCAACCACUGCAUUUCUGGCACCUCACCCUGUGCUGCCUUGGUUCCUCACUUACCCCAGCAUCUUUCAUGCUUAACUUUUCUUACCUUUCCUACAGAGCACAUCUUCUCAUUCUUGCUUAUUGGAGAAGCUUGCUUAUAAGCAGCUUCUCCAAAUCCUAUAUGCUGAAUCAUGUAGUUUUAAUUAACUCUCCCAUAGUAUCUUAGAAGUAUUAUCCAUUUAAUCUUUCCUGGGGAGGUACAUGCUGGGGAGAGUUCACCUCUACUGCUUUCUAAUAAAGUAUUUCAUAAAUUUCACAUGAUCACCUAGCAGCAACAUUUUCCAGUGAUGUUUUAUGUAUCUUUCUAAUCUUAUUCAUAAACACGUACCUAUUAAUGACAGAACUAGUCAAUUAAAAAGUAUUUCAAGAAAGGUUUG